RNAcentral lists this RNase P RNA (364 nucleotides) under Arxiozyma telluris. Its description in RNAcentral is "Kazachstania telluris Nuclear RNase P". The stretch from base 80 to 364 matches the Rfam family "Nuclear RNase P", at positions 83 to 275 of the family's 301-position model. Rfam says of the family: Ribonuclease P (RNase P) is a ubiquitous endoribonuclease, found in archaea, bacteria and eukarya as well as chloroplasts and mitochondria. Lineage: Eukaryota; Fungi; Ascomycota; Saccharomycetes; Saccharomycetales; Saccharomycetaceae. The record is from Rfam by way of RNAcentral.
AAACGCAGAGGACCAGAACUUUGGGACGGGAGGCGGGGGUUUUGUUCGCAGGCUCCUUCUUCCCGCUCCUGGUUCUACGCGGCGUGCGCUGUACCACCAUCGGUGGUUAUGGCGCUUACCCCGUGAGGGGGGCUUGGGGAACCGAGUCUAGCGUUGUUAUAAGAAAUCAAUCUUUUGGAUCCAGCCAGGGUCCUCUAGCAGAAAAGGGGGAUGGGGCUCUCUUGGGCUCUCCCCUCCACGCCUGCGGGAUUCUGAUGGGAAUGACAACGGUCGGUCCAUUUGACUUUAUCAUUACGAUGGUUCUAGUCGUGUUAUGGUAAAGGUCUGUUGAGUGCAAUUGUAGAGCAAAUUGAUUCAAUUUGAA